RNAcentral lists this ribosomal RNA (468 nucleotides) under uncultured bacterium. RNAcentral's name for it is "partial 16S ribosomal RNA". It matches the Rfam family "Bacterial small subunit ribosomal RNA", at positions 28 to 507 of the family's 1533-position model. The record is from RNAcentral.
GACGAACGCUGGCGGCGUGCUUAACACAUGCAAGUCGAACGGAAAGGCCCUGCUUUUGUGGGGUUCUCGAUUGGCGAACGGGUGAGUAACACGUGUGUAACCUGCCCUUUACUUUGUGAUAACUUCAGGAAACUUGUGCUAAUACCGUAUAGGAUCUCCUGCUGCAUGGUGUUGGUUGGAUAGUUUCGGCGGUUGGGGAUGGACUCGCGGCUUAUCAUCUUUUUGGUGGGGUAGUUGCUUACCAAGGCUUUGACGGGUAGCCGGCCUGAGAGGGUGACAGGCGACAAUGGGAAUGAGAUACGGACCAGAAGGAAACGGGAGGCAGCAGUGGGGAAUAGUGCAAAAUGGGAGGAAGCGUGAUGAAGAAAAGCCGCGUGCGGGAAGAAGGCCUUCGGGUUGUAAAAAGAUGUAGAAUGUGACGAAGAGUGAGUGACGGUAAUGGGUAAAGAAGCACCGGCUAACUACGUG